This 468-nucleotide ribosomal RNA is filed under the name uncultured bacterium. RNAcentral's name for it is "partial 16S ribosomal RNA". It matches the Rfam family "Bacterial small subunit ribosomal RNA", at positions 28 to 507 of the family's 1533-position model. The record is from RNAcentral.
GACGAACGCUGGCGGCGUGCUUAACACAUGCAAGUCGAACGGAAAGGCCCUGCUUUUGUGGGGUGCUCGAGUGGCGAACGGGUGAGUAACACGUGAGUAACCUGCCCUUGACUUUGGGAUAACUUCAGGAAACUGGGGCUAAUACCGGAUAGGAGCUCCUGCUGCAUGGUGGGGGUUGGAAAGUUUCGGCGGUUGGGGAUGGACUCGCGGCUUAUCAGCUUGUUGGUGGGGUAGUGGCUUACCAAGGCAUUGACGGGUAGCCGGCCUGAGAGGGUGACCGGCCACAUUGGGACUGAGAUACGGCCCAGACUCCUACGGUAGGCAGCAGUGGGGAAUAUUGCACAAUGGGCGGAAGCCUGAUGCAGCAACGCCGCGUGCGGGAUGACGGCCUGCGGGUUGUAAACCGCUUUCGCCUGUGACGAAGCGUGAGUGACGGUAAUGGGUAAAGAAGCACCGGCUAACUACGUG